GGAGAGGUGGGUGAGCGGCUGAAACCGACGGUUUGCUAAACCGUUGAACUUGUGCAAACGGGUUCCGAGGGUUCGAAUCCCUCCCUCUCCG
This 91-nucleotide transfer RNA is filed under the name Elusimicrobia bacterium RBG_16_66_12. RNAcentral describes it as "tRNA-Ser". It matches the Rfam family "tRNA". Rfam says of the family: Transfer RNA (tRNA) molecules are approximately 80 nucleotides in length. Their secondary structure includes four short double-helical elements and three loops (D, anti-codon, and T loops). Further hydrogen bonds mediate the characteristic L-shaped molecular structure. tRNAs have two regions of fundamental functional importance: the anti-codon, which is responsible for specific mRNA codon recognition, and the 3' end, to which the tRNAs corresponding amino acid is attached (by aminoacyl-tRNA synthetases). tRNAs cope with the degeneracy of the genetic code in two manners: having more than one tRNA (with a specific anti-codon) for a particular amino acid; and 'wobble' base-pairing, i.e. permitting non-standard base-pairing at the 3rd anti-codon position. Lineage: Bacteria; Pseudomonadati; Elusimicrobiota. The record is from RNAcentral.